GCAUGAUGAAAAUUAUAAAACAAAAUCCAAGAUGGAAAUGAAGUUGACAAGAUUAAACCUAUAAAAAUAAAUUUCCAAAUGAAGUGAAGUCAUGACACAGCAGCACUGUAAACAAGGAAGAUCGCCAGCUGCGUUUAGAUAAUUGCCUGCAUAGAGUGCAGACCUGCAGCAUCACAUUUGAAACAGCUUUCCAGCCACAUAAAACGCACUUAAGCAACUGGACCUCUGGUUGGGAAGAGCUGGGUACAUUUCCCACCAGUGUUUGUGAAGACAGCCCCACACGAGUGGGUGAGAUGCAGAGAGCUCUCUUAAAUUUGGAUAUCUUGUUUGGCAUCCUAUCUUACUGCCAUUGAACCCAGGAUCCGG
RNAcentral lists this long non-coding RNA (366 nucleotides) under Crocodylus porosus (Australian saltwater crocodile). RNAcentral's name for it is "lncRNA (ENSCPRG00005013160.1)". Lineage: Eukaryota; Metazoa; Chordata; Crocodylia; Crocodylidae. The record is from RNAcentral.